CCUACGGGUGGCUGCAGUAGGGAAUAUUGGGCAAUGGUCGGAAGACUGACCCAGCCAUGCCGCGUGCAGGAAGAAGGCCUUCUGGGUUGUAAACUGCUUUUAUCUAGGAAGAAAACGCCCAUGCGUGGGAAACUGACGGUACUAGAUGAAUAAGCACCGGCUAACUCCGUGCCAGCAGCCGCGGUAAUACGGAGGGUGCAAGCGUUGUCCGGAUUUAUUGGGUUUAAAGGGUGCGUAGGCGGCCUAUUAAGUCAGUGGUGAAAGCCAGCAGCUCA
This 275-nucleotide ribosomal RNA is filed under the name uncultured Adhaeribacter sp. RNAcentral describes it as "partial 16S ribosomal RNA". It matches the Rfam family "Bacterial small subunit ribosomal RNA", at positions 338 to 611 of the family's 1533-position model. The record is from RNAcentral. Lineage: Bacteria; Pseudomonadati; Bacteroidota; Cytophagia; Cytophagales; Hymenobacteraceae.